CGGCCCCAGCGUGUCUUCUGGUGGCGAAGCGGGGUUGCCGUGCUGUGCAUCGACAGAGGGAGCUGGCUCGGCAAGCUACCUGAUAGAAAGGAAAGGUCUUCCCGCGUUAAACUUCCCACCAGCUCUAGGUGCCGUUGAGGCGGGUCGAGCCGUCGCCUGUGGCGGGGCUGAGGGAAGCACAGGCUGGGGGCGGAGUGAGGCCUCGCCGUGGAAGUGCUGUUGGAAGUUCGGUUUCAGAGUUUGUUUAGAUGCAUUCGUCCGUAUGAAGGCGCUUUUGAACUUAAAAAUGAAACUUGCCAGCAAUACUUUUGUUCAGACCUGCCCUGACUGCCUAGCAUGAGGAAAAGAAUAUUUUACAGUUCAUACCAUACAGGGAUGGAGGUAAAGGGAACAUUUGACCAAAUCAGAGUUCAAUUAAAGAAAGAAGAAUAUGGAUCUGGAAAACUCACAAUGUGCUCGUGGAGAAGGGAUGAUCAACCAUUAGGAGAGGAGUUGGUUUUCAAGAAAACUGAAGAGAUAAAUAGAAGCACAAGUAAACAGUUGAAACCAAGAAGAAGUAGUUUGAAACUUUGGUUUGGAGAAGGGAUAUCCUGUAAGGAACAAAAUCAUGACCAACAUGGUUUUCCCAGGUGAAGAAUUGAAAACGUGAAAUUAACUAAAGCACAAACAACUAAAGCAUAGUUAUUCAUGCUAGUAUUAUAUGUGACCCAGAUGAGCAAAGAGUAUGAUAAAAGGUUUCCUUUCAUUUGUAUAAUCACUUCAGGAAUGCUUCAUGUGUGUGAAGGGAAAACAAAAGUUGCAUGAUGAGACAUUUCUCAGUCAUGACUUCUGAAGACUUUACAGCCUUAGCGUGCUCCUAAGACACAGAGCCUUCUAAGAUCCAAGGACAUCAUCUUACCUGUCUUUUACCCUUUUUUGGAAGCAUCUAAAGAAAAACUGGGUUUUAUGAAGGUAUAUGAAGAUAUCUUCUGAUAUAUGAAGAAUUGACAGCUUUCUCAGCAGGGAAGAUUGGCCUCUUUACAUUGGAAGACCUCUGUCUGUGGUGUAUGCAUUUCAGAGCCUUCCCACCUGCUUUUGACAAGCUGGGUGAAAUAUAUCAUGGGAAGCCACACUUGUGAAGAUCAGGUACACAGUUUAGUGUCCCAUUCAAGGAACACAGCCACUGCCGAACAGCUGGAGGUUGAUUUUUCCAUAGUGACUUUAACUGGACACAUAUGGGAAGACAUAAGGUAUGCAGUAGCUAAGGAGGAAGUAUAUUAUUUAUUUAAUUUUGCUGUUAGCUAUCAUCAUGCUUACACAUUUAGGUGGACUAUAAUCAUUAUUUGGCAUUUUUGAAAGAUCAGUGAU
This is a long non-coding RNA of Harpia harpyja (harpy eagle), 1347 nucleotides long. RefSeq lists it as uncharacterized. The transcript is spliced from 6 exons. The record is from RefSeq and is a predicted model, not a curated record. NCBI's taxonomy places the organism in Eukaryota, Metazoa, Chordata, Aves, Accipitriformes, Accipitridae.